GCGGUAUUAGUUUAGUGGUAGAACGUUAGGUUGCCAAUCUGGAGGCGGGGGUUCGAUUCCCCCAUACCGCA
Candidatus Pacearchaeota archaeon CG1_02_39_14 is the source of this 71-nucleotide non-coding RNA. NCBI's taxonomy places the organism in Archaea, Nanobdellati. The record is from Rfam.